UACGAAGGGGGCUAGCGUUGUUCGGAAUCACUGGGCGUAAAGGGCGCGUAGGCGGCUUUGUAAGUCGGGGGUGAAAGCCUGUGGCUCAACCACAGAAUUGCCUUCGAUACUGCAUGGCUUGAGACCGGAAGAGGUAAGUGGAACUGCGAGUGUAGAGGUGAAAUUCGUAGAUAUUCGCAAGAACACCAGCGGCGAAGGCGGCAUCCUGGACUGGUCCUGACACUCAGGAGCGAAAGCGUGGGGAGCGAUCCGG
RNAcentral lists this ribosomal RNA (253 nucleotides) under uncultured bacterium. RNAcentral describes it as "partial 16S ribosomal RNA". It matches the Rfam family "Bacterial small subunit ribosomal RNA", at positions 524 to 776 of the family's 1533-position model. The record is from RNAcentral.